Molecule: ribosomal RNA, 274 nt
Filed under: uncultured bacterium
Lineage: Bacteria
Description: partial 16S ribosomal RNA
Rfam family: Bacterial small subunit ribosomal RNA
Source: RNAcentral
AUACAGAGGGUGCGAGCGUUAAUGGGAAUUACUGGGCGUAAAGCGCGCGUAGGCGGUUAUUUAAGUCAGAUGUGAAAUCCCUGGGCUCAACCUAGGAACUGCAUCUGAAACUGGAUAACUAGAGUUUAGGAGAGGGGAGUAGAAUUUCGGGUGUAGCGGUGAAAUGCAUAGAGAUCCGAAGGAAUACCAGUGGCGAAGGCGACUCCCUGGCCUAGAACUGACGCUGAGGUGCGAAAGCGUGGGUAGCAAACGGGAUUAGAUACCCUAGUAGUCC